CCUACGGGUGGCAGCAGUGGGGGAUAUUGCACAAUGGGGGGAACCCUGAUGCAGCGACGCCGCGUCGGUGAAGAAGCGCCUCGGCGCGUAAAGCCCUGUCAGCAGGGAAGAAAAUGACGGUACCUGACGAAGAAGCCGCUGCUAACUACGUGCCAGCAGCCGCGGUAAUACGUAGGGGGCAAGCGUUAUCCGGCUUUACUGGGUGUAAAGGGGGCGCAGACGGCGAUGCAAGCCAGGAGUGAAAGCCCGGGGCCCAACCCCGGGACUGCUCUUGGUACUGCGUGGCUGGAGUGCAGGAGGGGCAGGCGGAAUUCCUGGUGUAGCGGUGAAAUGCGUAGAUAUCAGGAGGAACACCGGUGGCGAAGGCGGCCUGCUGGACUGCAACUGACGUUGAGGCCCGAAAGCGUGGGGAGCAAACAGGAUUAGAUACCCGAGUAGUC
RNAcentral lists this ribosomal RNA (440 nucleotides) under uncultured bacterium. Its description in RNAcentral is "partial 16S ribosomal RNA". It matches the Rfam family "Bacterial small subunit ribosomal RNA", at positions 338 to 795 of the family's 1533-position model. The record is from RNAcentral.